Eleginops maclovinus (Patagonian blennie) is the source of this 980-nucleotide long non-coding RNA. RefSeq lists it as uncharacterized. NCBI's taxonomy places the organism in Eukaryota, Metazoa, Chordata, Actinopteri, Perciformes, Eleginopidae. The transcript is spliced from 2 exons. The record is from RefSeq and is a predicted model, not a curated record.
UAAAUUGGCUUUUCAGCCUCUGCUCUUCAGGCUUCAUUGAGGAGGGCAAAUAUUGACAGUGCAAAAGUCCAGACAGAUACACGGUGCUGUGGCUUUCUGCUCUCUCAGCAUGAUUGAGGGCUAUAACAACUUGUGUUUGGCAUUUUAAGCCAGUAACUUUCUGUGUUUGUAGAGGAAUGGCACGACUUUGGGCGUUUGUUGACAUUAAUUGGUGUGUGCAGGACUUUUCUCCAUGGGUGAUUCAUAAUUUGGGGGGAAAAAAAAUGCAACUUUCCUGUAAGUUGUUGUUUUUAUGUUGUGUGUUAUGUGACUCACUAUGCUGCCGAGUCAUUGAGCUGAUACUCGCGGGAGCGGCUGAAGCAGGCUUGAACACCUCCGUCCUUCCACAGACGCUUAAUGACACCGGCCAGCUCCCCCGUCAUGAAGCCUUCCUCUGCGGAGCCCGCCAGCACAAACAACUGCCGUGCAUCAUCCUGAGAGAGGAAAAGCAAUAAACUCUUGCAGCAUCGCCAAAGUCGAUCUUGAGGCGCCCCAUGGCUCUGAUGAUGGCGAUGAUGGACUGGAUGGUGUUGCUGUAUACCACAGCCUUGUACUGCUUACAUUCCUCUUCUGAGUAGCCUGCCUCGUGGAUGAUCCUGAAAGAAGAGGAGGAAAAGACGGUCAUGUCGGUCAACGAUUUCCAAAUUCUACCUCUAUAGAUAGAAAGAUCUCCUGAGGAAAUCUGUAUGGUGAAUAAUGUGUUGUACUAUUCAGCUGUCUACGAAAUGCUCAGCUUUUAUUCAAUAUCCUUUUCAAUACUCUGACAUACUGUAUGCCCAUUGGUUAUAUGUGGAGGAAUAUAGUUAGGCCACAUAGAUCCUGAUAUUUAAGCUUCUGAUUCAUGGCCACUUAAGUCAUGGUUAGUCAGGUGAAAGCAGCUUUUCUACUCUGGAUAGAAGCAUCCGCAUGCAGACAAUGUAAAAAUACACUCUUUAAAUGUA